UUUGAGCACUGUCCUUUUUUUUCUUUCCUUUUUUUUUUUUAAUAUAAAUGAGUGUUCAAGCUCAGAACUCCAUAGAAAUUUAAACAACUUAUGCACAGCCCUUUGAAAGCGCCCACCGCUCCCAGAUUUUCUGCUGCAGCCAAAGGAGAGUCCAGCUUUCCAGUUCCGAUUUCCCAGGGGUUCGGAGGAGUGCUGCUUCCCAGGGCAGUGAGCGGGAUGGGGGCCGUGUGCCCUCUGCUGGGAGAGCUUUGUAACGUCAGGCGUUCCUCUGGAAGCGCCGUUGCCGCAUUCCAGGAUGUCCUGCGCGGUUGAUUACCAACGUGCUUGAGUUGGCAUUCCAAAAGAAGUUUCUUUCGGUUGCUCCUGGGAAAACUCAUGUUGCAAUUUCAGAGCGUUGAAGUGUGCUAAUCGUGGAGUCUGUUCCAUGUGCAUGGAAGAGAUGAUUGUGACCCAUGGUCCUGUACAAGAAAAAAGGAAAAAGAUCUUCAAGUGAGCAAGUAGUUCGUGCACACCUUAAUAUAGAAGUAGAAACACCAGGAAACCAAGCCCUAUCCAAGAAUCUGGUUCUGCUAAGGAAGCCUCUGACUUGUCUUCUGGGGAGUGUUCAGGAAUCAUUUUGAUGAAUUCCAAUUAAGAGUCUUUUUGACACCAGAGGAUGCAGAGGUCAAAGGAUGCCCUGAGCAGCACAUAACAGACUACAUGGAGCAGAGAUAAAGUGAGCACAACGAGACUUGCACAGUACACACAGCGUGUUCCUUAUCUACAGGAUGAGACGAGGCUGUUUUAAUAACUACCAUGAUGAAGAUGGAGAUGAACUUAUAUACAAGAGGAAUUGCCUUCACAUUACACACAUUAUCUUCCUACAAAGCAGCAAUUGUUUUUUGCAAAUAACAUAAUAUUAAAUAAUUGGUAGAA
This is a long non-coding RNA of Neopelma chrysocephalum (saffron-crested tyrant-manakin), 915 nucleotides long. RefSeq lists it as uncharacterized. Lineage: Eukaryota; Metazoa; Chordata; Aves; Passeriformes; Pipridae. The record is from RefSeq and is a predicted model, not a curated record. The transcript has 4 exons.